UCCGUUUUGUCAACGGCAGUCCCUUUAGAGUGCUCUUGCGUAGCAACUAAAGGUAAGGGUUGCGCUCGUUGCGGGACUUAACCCAACAUCUCACGACACGAGCUGACGACAACCAUGCACCACCUGUCUAUAUGCUCCCGAAGGAGUUUCAUCUAUCUCUAGACUAUGCAUACGAUGUCAAGACCUGGUAAGGUUCUUCGCGUUGCUUCGAAUUAAACCACAUACUCCACUGCUUGUGCGGGCCCCCGUCAAUUCCUUUGAGUUUCAACCUUGCGGCCGUACUCCCCAGGUGGAUUACUUAUUGUGUUAACUGCGGCACGGAAGGGGUCAGUCCCCCCACACCUAGUAAUCAUCGUUUACAGCGUGGACUAC
Molecule: unclassified non-coding RNA, 372 nt
Filed under: uncultured Oscillospiraceae bacterium
Lineage: Bacteria; Bacillati; Bacillota; Clostridia; Eubacteriales; Oscillospiraceae
Description: contains 16S-23S intergenic spacer region
Source: RNAcentral